Molecule: transfer RNA, 69 nt
Filed under: Marmota monax (woodchuck)
Lineage: Eukaryota; Metazoa; Chordata; Mammalia; Rodentia; Sciuridae
Rfam family: tRNA
About the family: Transfer RNA (tRNA) molecules are approximately 80 nucleotides in length. Their secondary structure includes four short double-helical elements and three loops (D, anti-codon, and T loops).
Source: Rfam by way of RNAcentral
GGAGUUGUGGCUCAACGGUAGAGCGCUUGCCUAGCUCGUGCAAGGCCCUGGGUUCGAUCCUCAGCACCA